Molecule: ribosomal RNA, 460 nt
Filed under: uncultured bacterium
Lineage: Bacteria
Description: partial 16S ribosomal RNA
Rfam family: Bacterial small subunit ribosomal RNA
Source: RNAcentral
CCUACGGGAGGCAGCAGUGAGGAAUAUUGGUCAAUGGACGAAAGUCUGAACCAGCCAAGUAGCGUGAAGGAUGACUGCCCUAUGGGUUGUAAACUUCUUUUAUAAGGGAAUAAAACGAGGCACGUGUGCCUUUUUGCAUGUACUUUAUGAAUAAGGAUCGGCUAACUCCGUGCCAGCAGCCGCGGUAAUACGGAGGAUCCGAGCGUUAUCCGGAUUUAUUGGGUUUAAAGGGAGCGUAGGUGGGUUGUUAAGUGAGUUGUGAAAGUUUGCGGCUCAACCGUAAAAUUGCAACUGAUACUGGCAGUCUUGAGUACAGCUGAGGUAGGCGGAAUUCGUGGUGUAGCGGUGAAAUGCUUAGAUAUCACGAAGAACCCCGAUUGCGAAGGCAGCUUACGAAACUGUGACUGACAUUGAUGCUCGAAAGUGCGGGUAUCAAACAGGAUUAGAUACCCGAGUAGUC